This 261-nucleotide ribosomal RNA is filed under the name uncultured prokaryote. Its description in RNAcentral is "partial 16S ribosomal RNA". It matches the Rfam family "Bacterial small subunit ribosomal RNA", at positions 524 to 784 of the family's 1533-position model. The record is from RNAcentral.
UACGUAGGUGGCGAGCGUUAUCCGGAAUUAUUGGGCGUAAAGAGCGCGCAGGUGGUUGAUUAAGUCUGAUGUGAAAGCCCACGUCUUAACCGUGGAGGGUCAUUGGAAACUGGUCGACUUGAGUGCAGAAGAGGGAAGUGGAAUUCCAUGUGUAGCGGUGAAAUGCGUAGAGAUAUGGAGGAACACCAGUGGCGAAGGCGGCUUCCUGGUCUGUAACUGACACUGAGGCGCGAAAGCGUGGGGAGCAAACAGGAUUAGAUA